Molecule: small RNA, 132 nt
Filed under: Escherichia coli
Lineage: Bacteria; Pseudomonadati; Pseudomonadota; Gammaproteobacteria; Enterobacterales; Enterobacteriaceae
Description: RtT sRNA
Rfam family: RtT RNA
About the family: This family represents a bacterial cis-regulatory element known as RtT RNA. The exact function of RtT is unknown although it is thought that it may be involved in changing the cellular response in relation to amino acid starvation.
Source: RNAcentral
AUUCUGCCCAAGCGGGGAAGGAUGAGAAGCUUCGACUAAGGUUCGACUCGAGCGCCAGCGAGAGAGCGUUGCCGCAAGCAACGACCCGAAGGGCGAAGCGCGCAGCGCUGAGUAAUCCUUCCCCCACCACCA